CAAGUCGAGGGGCAGCACGGGUAGCAAUACCUGGUGGCGACCGGCAAACGGGUGCGGAACACGUACGCAACUUUCCUUCAAGUGAGGAAUAGCCCAGGGAAACUUGGAUUAAUACCUCGUAAUAUUAUGAAGUGGCAUCACUUUAUAAUUAUAGCUCCGGCGCUUGAAGAUGGGCGUGCGCCUGAUUAGGUAGUUGGCGGGGUAACGGCCCACCAAGCCUACGAUCAGUAACUGGUGUGAGAGCACGACCAGUCACACGGGCACUGAGACACGGGCCCGACUCCUACGGGAGGCAGCAGUAAGGAAUAUUGGGCAAUGGACGCAAGUCUGACCCAGCCAUGCCGCGUGGAGGAUGAAGGUCCUCUGGAUUGUAAACUUCUUUUAUCUGGGAAGAAAUCCAUAUUUUCUAAUGUGGUUGACGGUACCAGAUGAAUAAGCACCGGCUAACUCCGUGCCAGCAGCCGCGGUAAUACGGAGGGUGCAAGCGUUAUCCGGAUUCACUGGGUUUAAAGGGUGCGUAGGUGGGCAGGUAAGUCAGUGGUGAAAUCUCCGGGCUUAACUCGGAAACUGCCGUUGAUACUAUCUGUCUUGAAUAUCGUGGAGGUUAGCGGAAUAUGUCAUGUAGCGGUGAAAUGCUUAGAUAUGACAUAGAACACACAUUGCGAAGGCAGCUAACUACACGAUCAUUGACACUGAGGCACGAAAGCGUGGGGAGCAAACAGGAUUAGAUACCCUGGUAGUCCACGCCCUAAACGAUGGAUACUCGACAUCAGCGAUACACUGUUGGUGUCUGAGCGAAAGCAUUAAGUAUCCCACCUGGGAAGUACGACCGCA
This 834-nucleotide ribosomal RNA is filed under the name uncultured Sphingobacteriales bacterium. Its description in RNAcentral is "bacterial SSU rRNA". It matches the Rfam family "Bacterial small subunit ribosomal RNA", at positions 58 to 890 of the family's 1533-position model. Lineage: Bacteria; Pseudomonadati; Bacteroidota; Sphingobacteriia; Sphingobacteriales. The record is from RNAcentral.